AUCCGGCUGAUGAGUCUCAAAUAAGACAAAACGCGCGUCCUGGAU
RNAcentral lists this non-coding RNA (45 nucleotides) under Schistosoma bovis. RNAcentral also lists the same sequence under 1 other name. The record is from RNAcentral. Lineage: Eukaryota; Metazoa; Platyhelminthes; Trematoda; Strigeidida; Schistosomatidae.